AUGAAAUGGCUCUUGGUAAGCCCAACAUUCCACAUUUGCCACCCAUAUUUUCAUGUGAAAAUCUUCAAUUCAAGUGUUGUAAUUUAAAAGAAUUAAUCUUUCAUCGAAUGUUAUUUCAUUUCAACGAGAAUUAAAUUCAGAACAUGAAUGAACUCAAUUUAUUCAAAUUUGACAUUUUGACGUUAUAACAAAUAGAUUGACUUUUCAUCUCAAGUCGUAUUGACGAAGGCAAUGAUCCAAUAUGGAAGAACAAAUGAAUAUAAGGCGGCAAAUUAGAGAUAAUCCAAAGGUGAGAGAGCCCUCAGCCACCAUACAGUUGAGGAGAGAAAUCCAAAAUUGUUUGAAAUUUCAAGAGGGAUUAAUUUAAUCUUAAUUACUAUUUAAUCGGAUAAUCCAUGCAAUUGCAAUUAACGAAACGAGGGUCCAAAUCCAAUCCAUAAUCACCAUCAUCAUCAAUUAAUAUAAUCAUCCCUCCCCCCCCCCCCCCAAAAGGAGUCCCUUCAGCUUCAAACUCCACACCUUUCAAAGCUCACUCCUUGAACGUCGCCGUUUCCAUCGUCCCCGGUCGCUUCUCAGCUCCAGCAGUCCCUAAUCGCUUUCAAGUUUACCUCAAUCCUUUCUGGGGUCGAUCGGUUUUUGAAUAUUAGUCAACGGUUCCCCUUUGCGGCUUAAGAAGGAAUCGUGUUUCUUGUUGCAUGAGGAACCCAGUAUUUUCCAUUAAGGGUUUUGAAAAAGUAAUCAAGGAGCUAAAGAAACUGAAAUUGCCACUCCGGUGGAGGAGGGGGGUUCACUAUUGUCUAAAGUUAAUUCUUUAGGCAAAGUUAAUUCCUUUGCUUUGAAAGUGAAGCUGUUAUCGUCAUUGAUAGUUUUAAGAUUUUCUAGGAAAUGAUUUGGACUUACCCCUCCACUUUUUCUGAGAUGAAAUUUCAAAGAGGAAAUGGAUAUGUGUAGAUUUUUAAGCCUAUUGCUUGGUUGAGGAAACGGAAUUGUUAAUUUGUCCACAUCUAUGGUGCCAAAUAGUUUUAG
Long non-coding RNA from Hibiscus syriacus, 1026 nucleotides. RefSeq lists it as uncharacterized. The record is from RefSeq and is a predicted model, not a curated record. NCBI's taxonomy places the organism in Eukaryota, Viridiplantae, Streptophyta, Magnoliopsida, Malvales, Malvaceae. The transcript has 4 exons.